Molecule: ribosomal RNA, 250 nt
Filed under: uncultured bacterium
Lineage: Bacteria
Description: partial 16S ribosomal RNA
Rfam family: Bacterial small subunit ribosomal RNA
Source: RNAcentral
ACGUAGGUGGCAAGCGUUGUCCGGAAUUAUUGGGCGUAAAGGGCGCGCAGGCGGCGUCGUAAGUCGAUCUUAAAAGUGCGGGGCUUAACCCCGUGAGGGGACCGAAACUGCGAUGCUAGAGUAUCGGAGAGGAAAGCGGAAUUCCUAGUGUAGCGGUGAAAUGCGUAGAUAUUAGGAGGAACACCAGUGGCGAAAGCGGCUUUCUGGACGACAACUGACGCUGAGGCGCGAAAGCCAGGGGAGCAAACGG